Molecule: ribosomal RNA, 67 nt
Filed under: uncultured bacterium
Lineage: Bacteria
Description: partial 16S ribosomal RNA
Source: RNAcentral
GUGGAUUGUACCUAACGAAGUACGGGUCCCGUUUAAAGGGCCCAAGGUAUGAUUCAUGAUUGGGGUG